RNAcentral lists this unclassified non-coding RNA (200 nucleotides) under Sporormiaceae sp. RNAcentral's name for it is "partial internal transcribed spacer 2". Lineage: Eukaryota; Fungi; Ascomycota; Dothideomycetes; Pleosporales; Sporormiaceae. The record is from RNAcentral.
UUAAGUUCAGCGGGUAUCCCUACCUGAUCCGAGGUCAAGAUGGUAAAAAGGGGGGCUUCUGGGGGCCGAUCCGCCGGGCUCGAGGUGCGCGUUUCUGCUGCGCUCGAAGCCAACGUACCGGCCGCCAAUGAUUUUGGGGCGAGUCCACGCGCGGGGGCGGGACAGACGCCCAUCACCAAGCUGGGCUUGAGGGGUCAAAU